This 253-nucleotide ribosomal RNA is filed under the name uncultured bacterium. RNAcentral describes it as "partial 16S ribosomal RNA". It matches the Rfam family "Bacterial small subunit ribosomal RNA", at positions 524 to 776 of the family's 1533-position model. The record is from RNAcentral.
UACAGAGGGGGCAAGCGUUGUUCGGAAUUACUGGGCGUAAAGGGCGCGUAGGCGGCCCGCUAAGUCGAACGUGAAAUCCCCAGGCUCAACCUGGGAACUGCGUCCGAUACUGGCAGGCUUGAAUCCGGGAGAGGGAUGGGGAAUUCCAGGUGUAGCGGUGAAAUGCGUAGAUAUCUGGAGGAACACCGGUGGCGAAGGCGGCAUCCUGGACCGGCAUUGACGCUGAGGCGCGAAAGCUAGGGGAGCAAACAGG